RNAcentral lists this ribosomal RNA (1372 nucleotides) under uncultured bacterium. RNAcentral's name for it is "bacterial SSU rRNA". It matches the Rfam family "Bacterial small subunit ribosomal RNA", at positions 28 to 1381 of the family's 1533-position model. The record is from RNAcentral.
GAUGAACGCUGGCGGCGUGCCUAAUACAUGCAAGUCGAGCGAACGGACGAGAAGCUUGCUUCUCUGAUGUUAGCGGCGGACGGGUGAGUAACACGUGGAUAACCUACCUAUAAGACUGGGAUAACUUCGGGAAACCGGAGCUAAUACCGGAUAAUAUUUUGAACCGCAUGGUUCAAAAGUGAAAGACGGUCUUGCUGUCACUUAUAGAUGGAUCCGCGCUGCAUUAGCUAGUUGGUAAGGUAACGGCUUACCAAGGCAACGAUGCAUAGCCGACCUGAGAGGGUGAUCGGCCACACUGGAACUGAGACACGGUCCAGACUCCUACGGGAGGCAGCAGUAGGGAAUCUUCCGCAAUGGGCGAAAGCCUGACGGAGCAACGCCGCGUGAGUGAUGAAGGUCUUCGGAUCGUAAAACUCUGUUAUUAGGGAAGAACAUAUGUGUAAGUAACUGUGCACAUCUUGACGGUACCUAAUCAGAAAGCCACGGCUAACUACGUGCCAGCAGCCGCGGUAAUACGUAGGUGGCAAGCGUUAUCCGGAAUUAUUGGGCGUAAAGCGCGCGUAGGCGGUUUUUUAAGUCUGAUGUGAAAGCCCACGGCUCAACCGUGGAGGGUCAUUGGAAACUGGAAAACUUGAGUGCAGUAGAGGAAAGUGGAAUUCCAUGUGUAGCGGUGAAAUGCGCAGAGAUAUGGAGGAACACCAGUGGCGAAGGCGACUUUCUGGUCUGUAACUGACGCUGAUGUGCGAAAGCGUGGGGAUCAAACAGGAUUAGAUACCCUGGUAGUCCACGCCGUAAACGAUGAGUGCUAAGUGUUAGGGGGUUUCCGCCCCUUAGUGCUGCAGCUAACGCAUUAAGCACUCCGCCUGGGGAGUACGACCGCAAGGUUGAAACUCAAAGGAAUUGACGGGGACCCGCACAAGCGGUGGAGCAUGUGGUUUAAUUCGAAGCAACGCGAAGAACCUUACCAAAUCUUGACAUCCUUUGACAACUCUAGAGAUAGAGCUUUCCCCUUCGGGGGACAAAGUGACAGGUGGUGCAUGGUUGUCGUCAGCUCGUGUCGUGAGAUGUUGGGUUAAGUCCCGCAACGAGCGCAACCCUUAAGCUUAGUUGCCAUCAUUAAGUUGGGCACUCUAAGUUGACUGCCGGUGACAAACCGGAGGAAGGUGGGGAUGACGUCAAAUCAUCAUGCCCCUUAUGAUUUGGGCUACACACGUGCUACAAUGGACAAUACAAAGGGCAGCGAAACCGCGAGGUCAAGCAAAUCCCAUAAAGUUGUUCUCAGUUCGGAUUGUAGUCUGCAACUCGACUACAUGAAGCUGGAAUCGCUAGUAAUCGUAGAUCAGCAUGCUACGGUGAAUACGUUCCCGGGUCU